CAGUAGCCACGGGAAUACAGAGGGUGCGAGCGUUAAUCGGAUUUACUGGGCGUAAAGCGUGCGUAGGCGGCUUUUUAAGUCGGAUGUGAAAUCCCUGAGCUUAACUUAGGAAUUGCAUUCGAUACUGGGAAGCUAGAGUAUGGGAGAGGAUGGUAGAAUUCCAGGUGUAGCGGUGAAAUGCGUAGAUAUAGGAAGGAACACCAGUGGCGAAGGCGACCACCUGGGCUCAUACUGACACUGAGGUGCGAAAGCGUGGGGAGCAAACAGGAUUAGAUACCCCAGUAGUCCCUGUCUCUUAUAA
This 301-nucleotide ribosomal RNA is filed under the name uncultured bacterium. RNAcentral's name for it is "partial 16S ribosomal RNA". It matches the Rfam family "Bacterial small subunit ribosomal RNA", at positions 509 to 809 of the family's 1533-position model. The record is from RNAcentral.